AGAGUUUGAUCAUGGCUCAGAGUGAACGCUGGCGGCGUGCUUAACACAUGCAAGUCGAGCGAGAUCUGACAGCGUAUCGUCAGGUCUAGCGGCAGACGGGUGAGUAAUACUUGGGCAAUCUGCCCUUGAGUAGGGGACAACCUGCCGAAAGGCGGGCUAAUACCCCAUAAGACCACAGGGAUGCAUAUCCUAGGGGUCAAAGCUCCGCAAGGGGCGCUUAAGGAGGAGCCCGAGUCCUAUCAUGGUAGUUGGCGGGGUAAUGGCCCACCAAGCCGUUGACGGGUAGCCGGCCUGAAAGGGCAACCGGCCACACUGGCACUGAGACACGGGCCAGACUCCUACGGGAGGCAGCAGUGGGGAAUUUUGGACAAUGGGGGCAACCCUGAUCCAGCGACGCCGCGUGAAGGAUGAAGGUCUUCGGAUUGUAAACUUCUUUUAAAGGGGAUGAAUGUCCUGGUGAAUAGCCAGGGGUGACAGUACCCUUUGAAUAAGCCACGGCUAACUACGUGCCAGCAGCCGCGGUA
This 524-nucleotide ribosomal RNA is filed under the name uncultured bacterium. RNAcentral describes it as "bacterial SSU rRNA". It matches the Rfam family "Bacterial small subunit ribosomal RNA", at positions 8 to 522 of the family's 1533-position model. The record is from RNAcentral.